UGGGGAAUAUUGGACAAUGGGCGCAAGCCUGAUCCAGCCAUGCCGCGUGAGUGAUGAAGGCCUUAGGGUUGUAAAGCUCUUUUGUCCGGGACGAUAAUGACGGUACCGGAAGAAUAAGCCCCGGCUAACUUCGUGCCAGCAGCCGCGGUAAUACGAAGGGGGCUAGCGUUGCUCGGAAUCACUGGGCGUAAAGGGCGCGUAGGCGGCCAUUCAAGUCGGGGGUGAAAGCCUGUGGCUCAACCACAGAAUUGCCUUCGAUACUGUUUGGCUUGAGUAUGGUAGAGGUUGGUGGAACUGCGAGUGUAGAGGUGAAAUUCGUAGAUAUUCGCAAGAACACCGGUGGCGAAGGCGGCCAACUGGACCAUUACUGACGCUGAGGAGCGAAAGCGUGGGGAGCAAACAGG
RNAcentral lists this ribosomal RNA (404 nucleotides) under Actinomycetes bacterium. RNAcentral describes it as "Actinobacteria bacterium partial 16S ribosomal RNA". It matches the Rfam family "Bacterial small subunit ribosomal RNA", at positions 355 to 776 of the family's 1533-position model. Lineage: Bacteria; Bacillati; Actinomycetota; Actinomycetes. The record is from RNAcentral.